This 494-nucleotide ribosomal RNA is filed under the name uncultured bacterium. Its description in RNAcentral is "bacterial SSU rRNA". It matches the Rfam family "Bacterial small subunit ribosomal RNA", at positions 42 to 535 of the family's 1533-position model. The record is from RNAcentral.
GCAGGCCUAAACAUGCAAGUUGAACGGGAUUUUGGGUAGCAAUAUCUGAAUGAGAGUAGCGCACGGGUGCGUAACACGUAUGCAACCUACCUAUGACUGGGGGAUAGCCUUCCGAAAGGAAGAUUAAUACCGCAUAAUGAUCUCGAAGGGGCAUCUCUUUGGGUCCAAACCUCCGGGGGUCAUAGAUGGGCAUGCGUUCGAUUAGCUAGUUGGUGAGGUAACGGCUCACCAAGGCUACGAUCGAUAGGGGGUCUGAGAGGAUGAUCCCCCACACUGGUACUGAGACACCGGACCAGACUCCUACGGGAGGCAGCAGUAAGGAAUAUUGGACAAUGGGCCGCAAGCUUGAUCCACGCCAUGCCGCGUGAAGGAUGAAGGCCCUAUGCGGUUCAACCUUCUUUUCGCAGGGAAAAACCCCCCGAUGCGUCGGGGUCCNUGGUACCUGCCCAUACGCAUCGGUUACUCCUGCCAGCCCCGCUUCAAGACGAAGACCC